UACGGGGGGGGCAAGCGUUGUUCGGAAUUACUGGGCGUAAAGGGCUCGUAGGCGGCCAACUAAGUCAAACGUGAAAUCCCUCGGCUUAACCGGGGAACUGCGUCUGAUACUGGAUGGCUUGAGUUUGGGAGAGGGAUGCGGAAUUCCAGGUGUAGCGGUGAAAUGCGUAGAUAUCGAGAGGAACACCUGCGGCGAAGGCGGGUUGCUGGGCUGAUACUGACGCUGAGGCGCGAAAGCUAGGGGAGCGAACGGG
RNAcentral lists this ribosomal RNA (253 nucleotides) under uncultured bacterium. Its description in RNAcentral is "partial 16S ribosomal RNA". It matches the Rfam family "Bacterial small subunit ribosomal RNA", at positions 524 to 776 of the family's 1533-position model. The record is from RNAcentral.